GCCAAGCACACUCGGGACAUUCAUUCAAGCAGUUACCUUCUUCUAAACACGACCAAAGCUGCUCCGUGAGCGGCUGUCAGCGGCGGGACCGAACCGACCGCCUUGAUCGGUUGUGGCGACGCAUCACAAGUGAUUAUCGUCGGCCGUUGGAAUCCCAGACAAACAUCAUGCGAAGCGCGAGGGAACAAAGGACAGAAACGUCGCUAUCUCUGCAUGUAUCACACACAGACACACAGUUUCUGUGUGUAACGUCGAUGCCAGAGAACACGGGGUGAUGUCCGCCGCUCCGAGCGCACUGCGGAUGCCGCGGUGACACACACACACCUUCCCCACUCACCUCGCACAGCAGACCUUCGCCGCAGCGGAUUGCCGCCUCAUUGAUGGCUGUCAGUUCCGAGCGCCACUCGAGCGCGGGGAAGGUCCUUUCGCGUCCACGUCUGAGUGGUGGCGGUCGCGUAGUCAUGACAACGUGUUCUAAAAAUACUUCAACCUGCUUUUGGAACAGUUGGUUUCACACGUCCCAAAGUAUGUACGACUGCCCGUCCCUGACUUUGGGGUCAAGUAUCCUCCGACCGAGAACCGGGUCCUUGGUGUGAGAGGGGCCUCUGUAUUUAGAAUGAGAAUUGUUCAAAUAAUUGGACCAAGAAUAAAAUUCUGAUCAAAACCAGAUUUUCCCAUGAUUGUUCCUUCAAACCCAAAUAAUUUUUACUUUUUCCAAAAAUACUAGUUUCAAUAGUUAUUGAUGGAAAAUGAGAAGGACAUGUAAGACCCGGCACACCAACAGAGGUGUUGCCAGAUGCGCGGGCUGGACUUCAGCGCAGCCCUAUUGGGAAUUGAUAUUUUUCGUGGCCGACAUUUUGACUUUGGCAGUAGGAACACAGCAGUACGCACGAACAUCAACGACUCAAUUAAAGUGCCGCAGCUAGCGUGCACAGAAGCAAAGCCCCACUAGAGCUGCGUUUAAAUUGAAUGCGUGCAUGCACGUCAACCAGAGAAAACCCAUUUGUGAUGUCACUCAGCUAUUCAGUUUGUUCUGAGAUCAUAGAUACCAAAGACUUGAUUGUAAAAUAAAAUAAAAUAUUAAGCUGUCGAGCACAUGGGAUUACUGUCCGCUAAGUAGACAAAUUUAGCUUUAAAUUUCUUCAGAUUUUCCUUCGGCAAGCCCUGAAAACACUUUCACAUUUAAGGCUCCAUCUUUCUGGUAAAUGUUUUCACAGGGAAAAAGCACCAGGCUCAAAAAUGUCUAUCCCUUGAUUUGAUGCAACGGCACAAGCCAGCGGGUCGUGUCAGAUUAUAGCCUCUUCAGUAGCACAGAAAAUGAGUAAAAGUGAGAAAAAGUGUGAUUUUCCAUCAGUCUGCGGACACACACACACACACACACACACACACACGCUGCGCCGAAGCCGCCCUGCUCGGGCCGGCCUGGGCGAACAAGCGGAGCGUGUCUCAGGAGAGACAGAGGGGCCUCAGAGGCAGCCCGGAAAAUCUGAGCCUGACCUCUCUGGAGAGGGAGCAAGAGAGGCAAACUGGAUUUUUAGAUAUUUCUCUCUCUCUCUCUCUCUUUUUUUUAAUCCCUGCCUUACACGCCUCACUGGUCCUCCUGCGGUACGACGUGGGGGCAUAAUGUAAAGUCAGGGGGAAAAAAAAAACACAAAAACAACAACAACAGGGGCUUGCGUGUCAGGAGAGAACAUCCACGUCUGCUCCUAUUCACCGUGACACGAGUGAAAACGGGACACAGUAUCCCACUGGCUUUUGACCCACAGUUGUAUGUAGGACAGCAUCUUAUUCAGAGCCAAAUGCCAUUUUGUUCCUCGCCCCUCUCUGUUCGAGAGGGAGUCUAUCGUCCCCCCCUCGCCACCCGUGACGCAUCUGCUCGACGUCAAUUUCGAAUCUGCGUUUCUCCGUUGGUGGAAAGAAGUCGC
This is a long non-coding RNA of Gasterosteus aculeatus aculeatus (three-spined stickleback), 1925 nucleotides long. NCBI's taxonomy places the organism in Eukaryota, Metazoa, Chordata, Actinopteri, Perciformes, Gasterosteidae. The record is from Ensembl.